GUGCUCUCUUUGGCAGCAUGUAUAUUAAAAACUGGAAUGAUAACGAGAUUACCAUGGCCCCUGCCAAGGAUGACAUGCAAAUUCACGAAAUAUUCCAUAUUUAA
Molecule: small nuclear RNA, 104 nt
Organism: Arvicanthis niloticus (Nile rat)
Lineage: Eukaryota; Metazoa; Chordata; Mammalia; Rodentia; Muridae
Source: RefSeq, a predicted model, not a curated record